Molecule: transfer RNA, 71 nt
Filed under: uncultured Vannella
Lineage: Eukaryota; Discosea; Flabellinia; Vannellidae
Source: RNAcentral
GGCCAUCUUCUCCACCUGCUAUGUCAACUACAACGAACCCGGCAUCGGCUUCGACCUGCUCAAGGUGCUGG